This 253-nucleotide ribosomal RNA is filed under the name uncultured bacterium. RNAcentral's name for it is "partial 16S ribosomal RNA". It matches the Rfam family "Bacterial small subunit ribosomal RNA", at positions 524 to 776 of the family's 1533-position model. The record is from RNAcentral. RNAcentral also lists the same sequence under 1 other name.
UACGUAGGGGGCGAGCGUUGUCCGGAUUUACUGGGCGUAAAGCGCGUGUAGGCGGCGCCUUAAGUCAGGUGUGAAAGCCCGGGGCUCAACCCCGGAGUGCCGCCUGAAACUGGGGUGCUUGAGGACGGAAGAGGGGAGUGGAAUUCCUGGUGUAGCGGUGAAAUGCGUAGAGAUCAGGAGGAACACCCGUGGCGAAGGCGGCUCCCUGGUCCGUUUCUGACGCUGAGACGCGAAAGCGCGGGGAGCGAACGGG